RNAcentral lists this ribosomal RNA (253 nucleotides) under uncultured bacterium. Its description in RNAcentral is "partial 16S ribosomal RNA". It matches the Rfam family "Bacterial small subunit ribosomal RNA", at positions 524 to 776 of the family's 1533-position model. The record is from RNAcentral.
UACGGAGGGUGCAAGCGUUGUUCGGAAUUAUUGGGCGUAAAGCGCGUGUAGGCGGUCGGGUAAGUCAGGUGUGAAAGCCUUUCGCUUAACGGAAGAAGUGCAUUUGAAACUGCUCGGCUUGAGUACGGGAGAGGAGAGUGGAAUUCCCGGUGUAGAGGUGAAAUUCGUAGAUAUCGGGAGGAACACCGGUGGCGAAGGCGGCUCUCUGGUCCGAUACUGACGCUGAGACGCGAAAGCGUGGGGAGCAAACAGG